Long non-coding RNA from Olea europaea var. sylvestris, 3176 nucleotides. RefSeq lists it as uncharacterized. The record is from RefSeq and is a predicted model, not a curated record. The transcript has 2 exons. Lineage: Eukaryota; Viridiplantae; Streptophyta; Magnoliopsida; Lamiales; Oleaceae.
ACUUUUUUCCCAAUAAAAAGGUGAAAAUGCAAAAAAUAAAAGGAAUGACAUUUUAUACAAUAACAGUGAAAGAUAAUGAUGUUUUGUACUAAUUACCUUAUACUAAUUAUGUUAUCGUUAGGCCCUUUGCAUAUCCAGUUGACCAUAUUCGUUUUUUAACAAAAGCUUGAUAUAUGCACAAUUUUUUGUAUUCAUAGCAAAAUUUUUGUAAAAUAUCUGACGUAAUGUAUGGUUCAGAUACCUCGAUUUUCGUAAUGCAACAAAAAAAUCCAAAUGCUUUCUAUUUAGUAAGAUUGCCAAAUUCGCUGAUGUAAAUUUUCAAUUUUUUAUUAUCUAUUUUAUUGGAAUUGGUUUAUGUCUUCCUGAACGUUAUCAUUUCUUUGGUUGUCCCUGUUGAAAAAAGCAUGACAUGCAAAAUGAAUUUUUGGUUGUCUAGUGUGGAGAACGUUGAGAAAAUGUUAACGUCGUCGAAAAUGAAACGUUAGGAGGGAACGGUGUAAUUGUCUUGAGGUAGGUAUGAUCUUUAAGGAUGAAAAAUAAACAUCUGAGAUGAGUAAAAGAUAUUCUUAUGACGUUAGUUUUCUAGUUAGGAAAAGAAAUUCGAAAAAGGGUAACGAUGAAGUUCUCAGAUAUGUGACAUUAAAGAAGCUAGAGUACAAGCGGUUCUUUGAAUCCACAACCAACAAGUUAGACAAAUUGUAAAGCAAUGAUCUCUACAUCUUUAGAUAUUCAGGUAGUUGGAUGAAUUAACAUGGUCCACCUUGAGCAUAGUCAUAAAACAAGUCAUUCAAAAUCUAGGUUGUAUCAAUGCAAUGGAGAAUUGAUUGCAAAUGUGAAACGUAAGCUUGAGGUGAAUGAUAUUACAAGAAUUUCAUUGUACAAAAGUUACAACUCUGCAGUUGUGGAAGCAUGGGGAUAUGAGAAAAUGACAUGCCUUGAAAAGGAUUGUCGAGACCUGUCAAAAGAGUUAGAUGAUUACGAUUUGGAGAUUGAGAUGCCGCUGCAAUACAAUAAUACUUUUCAAAGAUGUAAGCACAAUGCUUGCUAAAGAACGUAUUUUGGACAGAUAAUCGGUUUACGCAAGCAUACAGAUAGUUCGAUAAUGUCGUCACAUUCAACACCACUUACUUUACUAAUAAGUACGACAUGCCUUUCGCCCCCUUUGUUGUAAUGAAUCAUCAUGGACAAUCAAUACUGCUUGGAUGUGGUUUACUAUCAAAUGAGGACACAUAUACUUAUGUGUGGCUUCUCAGGACAUGGUUUCAGUGUAUGAAUGGUCUACCCCCGCAUGGAAGAAAUACUGAUCAAAACGGGGUAGUGCAAAAAUGCAAUUCAGAUCGUUUUUCAAAUACGACGCAUAGAUUGUGUUUGUAGUACAUUUUGAAAAAGUUGACAGAGAAGUUUGGUUAUCGUGUUGAUAAGACAUCAAUAUUUUCUAUUAUACACAAACAAGUAAAUGAUUCUCAUUUUCUUUAAGAAUUUGUAGAAAGAUGGUGGUUGAUGAUCAACGAGUAUGAAUUGCAUGACAAUGAUUACUGGUCGAGACUAGACGAGAAUAGAGAUCUUUGGGUGCCUUGCUUUUUGAAGACCAAUUUUUGUGCGAUGGUGUCAACAAUACAGUGAAGUGAGAAUAGGCAUGCGUUCUUCGAUGGGUAUGCAUUCUGAAACCUUAUUUAAGUAGUUUGGGGAAUAAUAUGAAAGAGAGGUUGAGAAAGAAUUUCAAGCUGAUUCCAAAAUCAUUCACGCAAAUGUUACCGUGUGCUACAAAUUAUGAGACCGAGAAGUUAUUUCAAUCAGUUUUCACAAUCUCUAAAUUCAGGCUAGCAAUCUCUAAAUUCAGGCUAGCUUAAGAUGAGUUCACAGAAAAGGUUUAUUGCAACAUCAUAUCUAUUUCUAAGGGAUGUUUUAGGACCACAUACAAGGUGUUAGAGGAUGUCGUGUAUCAUGAGCAUCGGAAGAAAAAAAUAUUUUCUGCCUCAUUUCGGAGAGAUGGAUGUGAGAUUACUUACAGUUGCCACUUGUUUGAGUUUCGGGGCAUAAUUUGAAGGUGUGCGGUCACAGUUUUGAUCCCCAAUUGAUGUCACAUUACUUCCAGAGAAAUAUAUAAUAUGUAGAUGAUGGAGAGAUGUAAGUAGAGUACACAUGAGGAUAGCAGUAAACUAUGAAGGUUUGGUUAGUACUCCAUGGCAGUAGUGCCAGGCUUUUGCAGAAGUGACGAACCUUGCCGUAGAUGAUGAAGGGCAAACACAUGCUAUAAUGGAUUGAAUAAAAUACAAGGCUAAAGAUUUGAAGUAGAACAAGUCGAGUAGUAGAAGUAAUGUAGUGUCACAGCAUAACAUUUGGUAAGGAUCUCGGUGUACUGGUUUGUUUAAUAGUGCCAGUAUGAGCACAAGAGAUCCUAAAUCGUUGAAAAGGCAAGCCAAGGAAACUUCAGAAGAAAAGCCCAUUGGUUUCGACUUCAAAGAAAUCAAAGGCAACUUCAAAUUCAAACCAAGGAAAGAGAUCGAAAUCAAAGGACAGUAAUAUGGAUGAGGCUUCACCCAACAUUCAACCGUUUCAACAAAGACAAUAUUCACAAUCGAUGCCGUUUUCGUAUUCAUACCUAUUGUUGGUUAGUAUAUUGAUUUUAUAUAAUUUCACCUUUUUGAAUUGUUAUUUACUUUGCUUUUCGAUAGAAGCCACCUCUAGAACUCACCGGAUAUUAAUUUGAUCCCCCAUCCUCUACAUUAGGUCAAUCAUUGCAAUACUACCAUCCACAUUUACCGCAAAAUGAUGGCACAUGCAUAUAAUCGUGUGGAAUGGAGGUGAUUUUUUUAGGUACUGCUAAAAUUGUUAUGCAUACUAUUCCUAUUCACCAUGGAUGCUAAAGAAUUAGGGGAGCCGGCGACUGAAGCCCCGGUGAACGGCGACCGUAACUAUAAUAGUCCUAAGGUAGUGAAAUUCCUUGUCGGUCUUUUUUACUUAUGCUUGUUGUCGUGAGACUGUUUUAGUAUAAAUUGCUUCUUCUCAUGCUCAAAUGCCUGAUGUUGUCUGAUAUAGAGUGAUGGAAGGAGGAAGUUAUAAAAAUUCAAUGUUCAUGUUCAGAUUAAAUUCCAUGAGAUUUAAUUUGCCAAGUUGACAGUAAUCCUUGAUGUUUAAUCGAUUGGCAUAGGCAGUAUGGGAUACAAGUUCUUUCA